Molecule: ribosomal RNA, 253 nt
Filed under: uncultured bacterium
Lineage: Bacteria
Description: partial 16S ribosomal RNA
Rfam family: Bacterial small subunit ribosomal RNA
Source: RNAcentral
UACGGAGGGAGCUAGCGUUGUUCGGAAUUACUGGGCGUAAAGCGUACGUAGGCGGCUUUGUAAGUUAGAGGUGAAAGCCCGGAGCUCAACUCCGGAACUGCCUUUAAGACUGCAUCGCUAGAAUCCGGGAGAGGUGAGUGGAAUUCCGAGUGUAGAGGUGAAAUUCGUAGAUAUUCGGAAGAACACCAGUGGCGAAGGCGGCUCACUGGCCCGGUACUGACGCUCAUGUGCGAAAGCGUGGGGAGCAAACAGG